GUUGUCAGAAGCUCCUUAAAGGUUCCUUGUGCAUAGAAAUUAUUGAUCAUGGAUGCAUAACAGGUACGACGCCUGGCAUCAAAUGUCAGAGAUACCAUAUCAAUCACAACCUUACCAAGAUAUCGACACUUGACAAAAGGUGGUAUAUCAAGCACAUCAGCAUCUGGAUAUCCUGAGAAACUAACGCCUGGCAUCAAAUGUUAGAGAUACCAUAUCAACCACAACCUUACCAAGAUAUCGACACUUGACAAAAGGUGGUAUAUCAAGCACAUCAGCGUCUGGAUAUCCUGAGAAACCAAGAGCCUCGAGAAAAACUUUAGCUAAGGCAGUUCCUAUGCUCUUUGAAGCUGCACUUAGAGAUCCAGUUUCAGUUCUCCGACGAUUUGGAGAUGCAAAUCCUUUA
Molecule: long non-coding RNA, 403 nt
Filed under: Nicotiana benthamiana
Lineage: Eukaryota; Viridiplantae; Streptophyta; Magnoliopsida; Solanales; Solanaceae
Description: long non-coding RNA (NBEN_LNC030787)
Source: RNAcentral